UGCCAGCAGCCGCGGUAAUACGGAGGGGGUUAGCGUUGUUCGGAAUUACUGGGCGUAAAGCGUACGUAGGCUGACUAGUCAGUCAGAGGUGAAAUCCCGGGGCUCAACCCCGGAACUGCCUUUGAUACUGCUAGUCUUGAGUUCGAGAGAGGUGAGUGGAAUUCCGAGUGUAGAGGUGAAAUUCGUAGAUAUUCGGAGGAACACCAGUGGCGAAGGCGGCUCACUGGCUCGAUACUGACGCUGAGGUACGAAAGUGUGGGGAGCAAACAGGAUUAGAUA
RNAcentral lists this ribosomal RNA (279 nucleotides) under uncultured bacterium. Its description in RNAcentral is "partial 16S ribosomal RNA". It matches the Rfam family "Bacterial small subunit ribosomal RNA", at positions 506 to 784 of the family's 1533-position model. The record is from RNAcentral.